GUUCAAUUGUACAUAUCGUAGCUCUUUGGUCUUUGUGGUUAGUUGUUAGUUGUUUAUAAACUGACAAUAUUUUUGUAAUGAAACUAUUUUACUAUAUCAUUCAAAUUGGCAAUACUUAAACUGACUGUUCCGUUAUACAGUUAGGAUGACAACUGUUAUAGAAUGACAUGGGCACAGGUACAUGUAUAUAUUGUUUUAUCAAUGCACC
RNAcentral lists this long non-coding RNA (208 nucleotides) under Mytilus galloprovincialis (Mediterranean mussel). The record is from RNAcentral. Lineage: Eukaryota; Metazoa; Mollusca; Bivalvia; Mytilida; Mytilidae.